CGGUGGUGUUGUCGGGGAUCAUCACGUCGGUGCCGUUGGUGCCGGAGCAGCCCGGCGGCGGGGGCGGCGGCGGUUCGACCGUGCCGCCUCCCAC
This 94-nucleotide transfer RNA is filed under the name Virgisporangium ochraceum. RNAcentral describes it as "tRNA-Thr". Lineage: Bacteria; Bacillati; Actinomycetota; Actinomycetes; Micromonosporales; Micromonosporaceae. The record is from RNAcentral.